RNAcentral lists this long non-coding RNA (289 nucleotides) under Homo sapiens (human). Its description in RNAcentral is "HSALNT0329915". Lineage: Eukaryota; Metazoa; Chordata; Mammalia; Primates; Hominidae. The record is from RNAcentral.
GUCUGGGGAUGUCUCUGCUGCUAAUGGUGGAUUUCAGUUGCCAGAGAGGAAAGAAAACAAACAUUUGCAGGAUGCUUGUGCUUUCCUUGCAAAUGUUCUUUAUUAAUCUUUGCAGAGGUAGAGUCCACUAUCCCCGUUUUACAGGCAAGGAAACUGGGAUUCAGGCCACACAACCGGAUUCUGACAAGUCCGGAGUACGUCCCCUCAUCAUCAGGGCAGGAGGUAACGUGCUGAAUUUAAUAGCAAAGCAAAUUUUGCUGGAGAAGAAAUGAGAUUUCUUUGUCAAGGU